Molecule: ribosomal RNA, 253 nt
Filed under: uncultured bacterium
Lineage: Bacteria
Description: partial 16S ribosomal RNA
Rfam family: Bacterial small subunit ribosomal RNA
Source: RNAcentral
UACGUAGGGGGCGAGCGUUGUCCGGAGUUACUGGGCGUAAAGCGCACGCAGGCGGUCCGUUAAGUUUGGAGUGACAGUUGGUGGCUCAACCACCAAAGUGCUUUGAAAACUGGCAGACUUGAGGGCUUCAGAGGGACACGGAAUUCCGGGUGGAGUGGUGAAAUGCGCAGAUAUCAGGAAGAACACCCGUGGCGAAGGCGGUUCUCUGGGACGGUACUGACGCUGAGACGCGAAAGCGUGGGGAGCGAACAGG